UAGUAGAUUGAAGAGGCUGAUAAGUGUCUCUGCAAUCGUGUAUGAACUUUGAGGCAUAAUAAGGGGCGAGUCAUCGUUUCGGUCGUCAUCUGUUUGGUUGGCGAAUCGAUUGUUCCUCGUCUACAU
Small nucleolar RNA from Arachis stenosperma, 126 nucleotides. RefSeq annotates it as small nucleolar RNA snoR111. The transcript has a single exon. The record is from RefSeq and is a predicted model, not a curated record. Lineage: Eukaryota; Viridiplantae; Streptophyta; Magnoliopsida; Fabales; Fabaceae.